UGCCCAGGUAGCUCAGUUGGCAGAGAGGAUUUGAAAACCUCUGUCGGUGGUUCGAUUCCACCCCUGGGCGG
Molecule: transfer RNA, 71 nt
Filed under: Gammaproteobacteria bacterium
Lineage: Bacteria; Pseudomonadati; Pseudomonadota; Gammaproteobacteria
Description: tRNA-Ser
Rfam family: tRNA
About the family: Transfer RNA (tRNA) molecules are approximately 80 nucleotides in length. Their secondary structure includes four short double-helical elements and three loops (D, anti-codon, and T loops).
Source: RNAcentral